UCGAUUUGGAGUUUGUUGCCUUGAGUGAUGGGCUCCGAAGCUAACGCGAUAAAUCGACCGCCUGGGGAGUACGGCCGCAAGGUUAAAACUCAAAUGAAUUGACGGGGGCCCGCACAAGCGGUGGAGCAUGUGGUUUAAUUCGAUGCAACGCGAAGAACCUUACCUGGUCUUGACAUCCACAGAAUCUUGCAGAGAUGCGAGAGUGCCUUCGGGAACUGUGAGACAGGUGCUGCAUGGCUGUCGUCAGCUCGUGUUGUGAAAUGUUGGGUUAAGUCCCGCAACGAGCGCAACCCUUAUCCUUUGUUGCCAGCGAUUUGGUCGGGAACUCAAAGGAGACUGCCGUUGAUAAAGCGGAGGAAGGUGGGGACGACGUCAAGUCAUCAUGGCCCUUACGACCAGGGCUACACACGUGCUACAAUGGCGUAUACAAAGGGAGGCGACCUCGCGAGAGCAAGCGGACCUCAUAAAGUACGUCUAAGUCCGGAUUGGAGUCUGCAACUCGACUCCAUGAAGUCGGAAUCGCUAGUAAUCGUGAAUCAGAAUGUCACGGUGAAUACGUUCCCGGGCCU
Molecule: ribosomal RNA, 569 nt
Filed under: uncultured Gammaproteobacteria bacterium
Lineage: Bacteria; Pseudomonadati; Pseudomonadota; Gammaproteobacteria
Description: bacterial SSU rRNA
Rfam family: Bacterial small subunit ribosomal RNA
Source: RNAcentral